This 483-nucleotide ribosomal RNA is filed under the name uncultured bacterium. Its description in RNAcentral is "partial 16S ribosomal RNA". It matches the Rfam family "Bacterial small subunit ribosomal RNA", at positions 29 to 506 of the family's 1533-position model. The record is from RNAcentral.
AUUGAACGCUGGCGGCAUGCUUUACACAUGCAAGUCGAACGGCAGCGCGGGCUUCGGCCUGGCGGCGAGUGGCGAACGGGUGAGUAAUGCAUCGGAACGUGCCCAGUAGUGGGGGAUAGCCCGGCGAAAGCCGGAUUAAUACCGCAUACGACCUGAGGGUGAAAGCGGGGGACCGAAAGGCCUCGCGCUAUUGGAGCGGCCUAUGUCGGAUUAGCUAGUUGGUGGGGUAAAGGCUUACCAAGGCGACGAUCCGUAGCUGGUCUGAGAGGACGACCAGCCACACUGGAACUGAGACACGGCCCAGACUCCUAGGGGAGGCAGAAGUGGGGAAUUUUGGACAAUGGGGGCAACCUUGAUCCAGCCAUGCCGCGGGCGGGAAGAAGGCCUUCGAGUUGUAAACCGCUUUUGUUCGGGAAGAAAUCCUCUGGGCUAAUACCCCGGGGGGAUGACGGUACCGGAAGAAUAAGCACCGGCUAACUACGU